GGCUUAGUGGUCCAAUGGUAAAGCGAUUGUCGCAGAACAAUAGGGUCCUGGGUUCGAUCUCCAAUGGGAUCG
Molecule: transfer RNA, 72 nt
Filed under: Schistosoma japonicum
Lineage: Eukaryota; Metazoa; Platyhelminthes; Trematoda; Strigeidida; Schistosomatidae
Description: tRNA-OTHER
Source: RNAcentral